RNAcentral lists this ribosomal RNA (217 nucleotides) under uncultured bacterium. Its description in RNAcentral is "partial 16S ribosomal RNA". It matches the Rfam family "Bacterial small subunit ribosomal RNA", at positions 524 to 740 of the family's 1533-position model. The record is from RNAcentral.
UACGUAGGGGGCAAGCGUUGUCCGGAUUUAUUGGGCGUAAAGGGCUCGUAGGCGGCGUGUCGCGUCGGGAGUGAAAGCCCGUUGCUUAACGGCGGGUUGGCUUUCGGUACGGGCAUGCUGGAGUGCGGCAGGGGAGACUGGAAUUCCUGGUGUAGCGGUGGAAUGCGUAGAUAUCGGAAGGAACACCAGUGGCGAAAGCGGCUUCCUGGUCCAGCAC